CAGCGUAGGCAAAUUCUUUACCAUCUUUACCAGCCACCACCCUGGGCCCAAAUCCCAGCUCUGAUGCUUCUGAGACAGGACGGGAAGGCUCAUGCUUUCACUGGCCUCCGUGUGAAAAUCAAGGAUUGCGUUUCUCUUGAGGCUGCAGAUGAUACAGACUGUGGACAUCAACCCUGACCAGAGUGGUGCUCUGCAGAGCAGGGGUCAGAUCUCACAGGCGUGUCCCACUGCUGCCCUGGAAGCCCCCUCCCAAACCCUGAGUGCUUUCUGCCUGUUAGGAUGGCACGAAGGCAGACUGUCCCGAAGGCAGAUGGGAAGGAACAGCCCAGCAGACACAUGCAGCCUACAGAGGCUUCUCGCAAUACUGCCCACGCAGGUGGCAAGUGGCCCACAGCGCGGCAGGGAUGUGCCUGUCACACACCAAGUGGCAGGGCGGGCCGGCCAGAGGACAGCCUCCCACGUGUCUCCCCAGCGAGUCCUGGAGCGGGAGUGACGCAACUCAGGGGCUGUGGGUGGGGGCCGCUCUCAUCCUCACUGCCACGUUGCUCCCUGUCUGCUGAAUCAAGCUCGCGUCACCGGUCUGUGAGACGCCCUGGUGCACAGCCACCAUCCCGGGGACCCAACUGGCAGACAGGAGAAGGCCUGGCACUGACCAGCCUAAAGGGCUCGGGCACUGGGCCAGAGCUGGGCCGGGCCUCAGCUGGGGUGGGACCUCUCCACACGGGAGUUGCAGAACCGGUUUUCCAUCCCCAAGAAGGAAGGUGGCCAUGGGGUGGAGAGGCAGCAACAGGACAGAUGUGGACAGGAUGAUGCCGGGACGACGCGGAAACCGACAGGCCAGAGGCUUCUCCAGAGAUACCUAUUCGGUUCAUUGAAGAAGUAUCACUCAAGUUAAGACCAGGUUUGUACAAGUUCAUUCUUGUAAUGUAUUAAGUGGGGCAGAGGGCAGGGGAAUUGGUUUGAACUUUCCAUGGGAACAAUUUCUUCUAAAUCUGGUUCUAUUAAAAAAAACAUGUAUUUAUUUGGCUGUGACGAGUCUUAGUGGCAGCACACGGGAUCUUCCAUCUUCGCCACGGCAUGCAGUGUGAACUCUUGGUUGCAGCAGGUAGGAUCUAGUUCUCUGAUCAGGGGUUGAACCUGGCCCCCUGCUGUGGGGGCGUGGAGUCUCAACCACAGGACCACCAGGGAAAUCCCUAACUCUGGUUCUUUUAUCUUCCUUGGCACGCCUGGACUUCCUUCCCCCACACCACCAUCCUCCCCAGCCUCUCUGCAGGUCUAGAGAAGCCACGUUCAUCUCAACCCUGACAGAGUACGCUUGCUCUCCAGGUAUGCCGAGGGCAUGGCAGAAGGUCACCCCAUGCUGUUUCCACUCCUUCCUUACCACAAAACCACGGCAGCUGGAUCAGACCUGCCUGCAGACAAGUGAACACGGAGCAUGCUCUCGCAUACGCGGGCCCCCGUCCCCAGGGCCUGUCCUGAGAGGCCCUGGAACACAGCCCUGUCUGGGGUCUCCCUGCACGCCAGGGCUGGCCCUCCAGAGGGAGUCCCUGUGCCCCUGAUUACCAGCCAUGACCUGCCUUUGACUCGCUGGAGCAUGUUCCGAGGAGACAACUGGAAGCCCCUGCCAUGGGGAACCUGCUGCCAGGGAGAUAAGAACAUAUAAGUCUAAGUAAAAUAGCUGCUUGUGUCA
Capra hircus (goat) is the source of this 1690-nucleotide long non-coding RNA. RefSeq lists it as uncharacterized. The record is from RefSeq and is a predicted model, not a curated record. The transcript has 3 exons. NCBI's taxonomy places the organism in Eukaryota, Metazoa, Chordata, Mammalia, Artiodactyla, Bovidae.